RNAcentral lists this ribosomal RNA (315 nucleotides) under uncultured bacterium. RNAcentral's name for it is "bacterial SSU rRNA". It matches the Rfam family "Bacterial small subunit ribosomal RNA", at positions 28 to 334 of the family's 1533-position model. The record is from RNAcentral.
GAUGAACGCUGGCGGCGUGCCUAACACAUGCAAGUCGAGCGCGGUCCCUUUGGUGCUUGCACCAAAGACGACUGAGCGGCGGACGGGUGAGUAACGCGUGAGGAACCUGCCUCAAAGAGGGGGACAACAGUUGGAAACGACUGCUAAUACCGCAUAAGCCCACAGGUCGGCAUCGACCAGAGGGAAAGGAGCAAUCCGCUUUGAGAUGGCCUCGCGUCCGAUUAGCUAGUUGGUGAGGUAACGGCCCACCAAGGCGACGAUCGGUAGCCGGACUGAGAGGUUGAACGGCCACAUUGGGACUGAGACACGGCCCAG